RNAcentral lists this ribosomal RNA (460 nucleotides) under uncultured bacterium. RNAcentral's name for it is "partial 16S ribosomal RNA". It matches the Rfam family "Bacterial small subunit ribosomal RNA", at positions 338 to 795 of the family's 1533-position model. The record is from RNAcentral.
CCUACGAGGAGCAGCAGUGAGGAAUAUUGGUCAAUGGACGAGAGUCUGAACCAGCCAAGUAGCGUGAAGGAUGACUGCCCUAUGGGUUGUAAACUUCUUUUAUAAAGGAAUAAAACGAGGCACGUGUGCCUUUUUGCAUGUACUUUAUGAAUAAGGAUCGGAUAACUCCGUGCCAGCAGCAGCGGUAAUACGUAGGCUCCGAGCGUUAUCCGGAUUUAUGGGGUUUAAAGGGAGCGUAGAUGGGUUGUUAAGUCAGUUGUGAAAGUUUGCGGCUCAACCGUAAAAGUGCAAUUGAUACUGGCAGUCGUGAGUACAGUUGAGGUAGGCGGAAUUCGUUGUGUAGCGGUGAAAUGCUUAGAUAUCACGAAGAACCCCGAUUGCGAAGGCAGCUUACUAAACUGUGACUGACAUUGAUGCUCGAAAGUGUGGGUAUCAAACAGGAUUAGAUACCCCAGUAGUC